Molecule: long non-coding RNA, 1445 nt
Organism: Xiphophorus couchianus (Monterrey platyfish)
Lineage: Eukaryota; Metazoa; Chordata; Actinopteri; Cyprinodontiformes; Poeciliidae
Exons: 2
Source: RefSeq, a predicted model, not a curated record
UGAUUGGAUCUCCAGUGUUGUCCCUUUCUCAACCUUCCCCUGACCUCUGCUGUUCAGAGUGACAUACAAAAACGACACUUUGAGGUUUCGAACGUGCAAGUUCAGGGAGUGUGUUGGCGGAUACAAGAAACGUGAUUACAUUUGUCUCCGAAUAGAGCGCCGUAACUAUACCAACUCCAUCCGCCAGCCCCGUGGGAGUCGCACUUUGGCAACAGUAGCCAUAGUGAAGAAAAAUACCAAAGAUACGGAGCAACAUGCCGGCACUCCUUUGAGAGUUAAAACGUAGCAGUAUGCGAGCUGUGGGUGGAAAUAACAUCAGGAGAAAAUGAUAUGGAACCACAUGGGGAUUCAUAUUCAGCUCCUAUAUAAAUACAGAAGCAACAAAUGUAUGCGCUAUCCCACUAAAUGCGUGGGUUGUCAACACCUUCGACCUGAGCUCUUCCCCCUGCGAAGAAAAUAGUCCAGGACGUUUGCCGGCUGUACGCGGCACUGCCACACGCAAACAAGGUGGGCAGAUGGCGCCGCUUAGAAUAAGACAUGCAUACAGCCGCUCGCACCGCUGCGACGCAGCCGCCUAAAAAAUACAAUUACUGCAGCUCCAGCAGAUACUCGGGAUCAAAUGCAGGCUUAUUAAAACGCACCGCAGAACCCCGACCCGGCCAAUCAAGCAAAUAAUUCUGGCACCACCCGGCUCGGAUUUCGGGGUAGGGCACCGGGUCGUAAAUCUAAACUCCAGCCCUGAUUGUAUUUCAGCAUUUUUACGCGCUGCCAGCAUGCCGCCGCAGUCGGCGGCUGUUAUGACACAACCAGAGAGAGCGGCAGCCUGUUCUCCACCAGAACGUCGGGUAUUCUGCUUUCACAUGACGAACCUGAUCUGUGCGGCGGGCUGGUGGAAACAAAAAUAAUUAAGGCCAAAACAGGGGCGCCGCUAAUAAUAACGAAACCGAAGCGUCCUCGUCUCGUUACGCCGUUCCGACGACGCGAUUCUGUCUUUCCAAGUAAACAGGACGUGGGGUCAUCAUUCUUCGGGCCGUUGCCAACGACACAGAGGUUUUGAAAGUGAUGGCCGCAUGUCGAAUCUGAACCGCUGGGAUUGGGAGCUUUGUGUUGUGAUUGGACUUGGCGCUCUAUACUCGAAGUUGCCAAAUAAAUGGACUACAAGGAGUGUAUACCUGGGGUGUGAUAUCAGCCACUGGUUUCAAAUCCCGCCAUGUAAAGACUCUCGUUUCCUCUAACAGUCCAAGGUCAAGAGGUGAAGACGGGUCAGUUUGUGUCCACAGUUACAGUCCGCGCCUCGUUGAUCCUAGCUAUAGGUCUGCGGUUCCUGGACAAAUCAGGGCACGACCUUCAAUCUGAAGAGCAGAGUUCACAUGCAGUUUGACACACAGUUCACUGUCACUUCUGUUUGUUUCUCAAUUUAGCUGUAAAAUCUACCUCCCAAAAAA